This 1085-nucleotide ribosomal RNA is filed under the name Aureobasidium sp. Its description in RNAcentral is "SSU rRNA". It matches the Rfam family "Eukaryotic small subunit ribosomal RNA", at positions 41 to 1140 of the family's 1831-position model. Lineage: Eukaryota; Fungi; Ascomycota; Dothideomycetes; Dothideales; Saccotheciaceae. The record is from RNAcentral.
AGAUAGCCAUGCAUGUCUAAGUAUAAGCAACUAUACGGUGAAACUGCGAAUGGCUCAUUAAAUCAGUUAUCGUUUAUUUGAUAGUACCUUACUACUUGGAUAACCGUGGUAAUUCUAGAGCUAAUACAUGCUAAAAACCCCAACUUCGGAAGGGGUGUAUUUAUUAGAUAAAAAACCAACGCCCUUCGGGGCUCCUUGGUGAUUCAUAAUAACUAAACGAAUCGCAUGGCCUUGCGCCGGCGAUGGUUCAUUCAAAUUUCUGCCCUAUCAACUUUCGAUGGUAGGAUAGUGGCCUACCAUGGUAUCAACGGGUAACGGGGAAUUAGGGUUCUAUUCCGGAGAGGGAGCCUGAGAAACGGCUACCACAUCCAAGGAAGGCAGCAGGCGCGCAAAUUACCCAAUCCCGACACGGGGAGGUAGUGACAAUAAAUACUGAUACAGGGCUCUUUUGGGUCUUGUAAUUGGAAUGAGUACAAUUUAAAUCCCUUAACGAGGAACAAUUGGAGGGCAAGUCUGGUGCCAGCAGCCGCGGUAAUUCCAGCUCCAAUAGCGUAUAUUAAAGUUGUUGCAGUUAAAAAGCUCGUAGUUGAACCUUGGGCCUGGCUGGCCGGUCCGCCUCACCGCGUGUACUGGUCCGGCCGGGCCUUUCCUUCUGGGGAGCCGCAUGCCCUUCACUGGGCGUGUCGGGGAACCAGGACUUUUACUUUGAAAAAAUUAGAGUGUUCAAAGCAGGCCUUUGCUCGAAUACAUUAGCAUGGAAUAAUAGAAUAGGACGUGCGGUUCUAUUUUGUUGGUUUCUAGGACCGCCGUAAUGAUUAAUAGGGAUAGUCGGGGGCAUCAGUAUUCAAUUGUCAGAGGUGAAAUUCUUGGAUUUAUUGAAGACUAACUACUGCGAAAGCAUUUGCCAAGGAUGUUUUCAUUAAUCAGUGAACGAAAGUUAGGGGAUCGAAGACGAUCAGAUACCGUCGUAGUCUUAACCAUAAACUAUGCCGACUAGGGAUCGGGCGAUGUUAUCAUUUUGACUCGCUCGGCACCUUACGAGAAAUCAAAGUCUUUGGGUUCUGGGGGGAUAUGGUCGCAAGUGA